RNAcentral lists this ribosomal RNA (1477 nucleotides) under uncultured prokaryote. Its description in RNAcentral is "partial 16S ribosomal RNA". It matches the Rfam family "Bacterial small subunit ribosomal RNA". The record is from RNAcentral.
AACGAACGCUGGCGGCGUGGAUAAGACAUGCAAGUCGAACGAGGAAUCGCCUUAGCUUGCUUUGGCAUUGAAUUCCUAGUGGCGGACGAGUGAGUAACACGUGGGCAACCUGCCCGGAAGAGAGGAAUAGCCCGAGGAAACUCGGAUUAAUGCCUCAUGUGGCCUAUAGGGGCAUCCCUACAAGGCUAAAGGUGGCUUCGGCUGCCGUUUCCGGAUGGGCCCGCGGCCUAUCAGCUUGUUGGUGAGGUAACGGCUCACCAAGGCAACGACGGGUAACUGGUCUGAGAGGAUGAUCAGUCACGCUGGAACUGAGACACGGUCCAGACACCUACGGGUGGCAGCAGUCGAGAAUCAUUCGCAAUGGGCGAAAGCCUGACGGUGCGACGCCGCGUGGAGGAUGACGGCCUUCGGGUUGUAAACUCCUGUCAUCAGUGAGUAAGGUAGGCGGGUUAAUGAUGCCUCCGUGAUUGAUAGUAUUCGAAGAGGAAGGGACGGCUAACUUCGUGCCAGCAGCCGCGGUAAUACGAAGGUCCCGAGCGUUGUUCGGAAUCACUGGGCGUAAAGCGUAUGUAGGCGGCGGGGUAAGUCAGAUGUGAAAGCCCGGGGCUCAACCCCGGAACUGCAUCCGAUACUGCCUUGCUUGAGUGAUGGAGGGGAGUCUGGAAUUCACGGUGUAGCAGUGAAAUGCGUGGAUAUCGUGAGGAACACUAGUGGCGAAGGCGAGACUCUGGACAUCUACUGACGCUGAGAUACGAAGGCCAGGGUAGCGAAAGGGAUUAGAUACCCCUGUAGUCCUGGCAGUAAACGGUGCACGCUUGGUGUGGCGGGAUUCGACCCCUGCCGUGCCGGAGCUAACGCGUUAAGCGUGCCGCCUGGGGAGUACGGUCGCAAGACUAAAACUCAAAGAAAUUGACGGGGACCCGCACAAGCGGUGGAGUAUGUGGCUUAAUUCGAUGCAACGCGAAGAACCUUACCCAGGCUUGACAUGCAUCACUAAUCGCGUGAAAGCGCGCGCGUGACCGGCUUGCCGGAAUUUGCACAGGUGCUGCAUGGCUGUCGUCAGCUCGUGUCGUGAGAUGUUGGGUUAAGUCCCGCAACGAGCGCAACCCUUGUGUCCUGUUGCCAGCGAGUAAUGUCGGGGACUCUGGACAGACUGCCGGUGCUUAAACCGGAGGAAGGUGGGGAUGACGUCAAGUCAGAUGGCCCUUAUGCCUAGGGCUGCACACGUACUACAAUGCUCAGUACAAUGUGAACCGAUACCGCGAGGUGGAGGAAAUCCUGAAAACUGAGCUCAGUUCGGAUUGGAGGCUGCAACUCGCCUCCAUGAAGUCGGAAUCGCUAGUAAUGCCGUAUCAGCUACGACGGCGUGAAUACGUUCCCGGGUCUUGUACACACCGCCCGUCACAUCAUGGAAGCCGCUCGCACCCGAAGUACCAACAAUAAGUAGGUCCUAAAGGUGUAGCUGGUAACUGGGAUG